Molecule: ribosomal RNA, 459 nt
Filed under: Triticum aestivum (bread wheat)
Lineage: Eukaryota; Viridiplantae; Streptophyta; Magnoliopsida; Poales; Poaceae
Description: partial small subunit ribosomal RNA
Source: RNAcentral
AUGGCGCCCAAGGCCGAGAAGAAGCCGGCGGCGAAGAAGCCAGUGGAGGAGGAGCCCGCGGCGGAGAAGGCCGAGAAGACCCCGGCCGGGAAGAAGCCCAAGGCCGAGAAGCGGCUGCCGGCGGGCAAGUCGUCGGCGGCGGCCAAGGAGGGCGGCAAGGCGAAGAAGAAGGCCAAGAAGAGCGUGGAGACGUACAAGAUCUACAUCUUCAAGGUGCUGAAGCAGGUGCACCCCGACAUCGGCAUCUCCUCCAAGGCCAUGUCCAUCAUGAACUCCUUCAUCAACGACAUCUUCGAGAAGCUCGCCGGCGAGGCCGCUAAGCUGGCGAGGUACAACAAGAAGCCCACCAUCACGUCCCGGGAGAUCCAGACCUCCGUCCGCCUCGUCCUCCCCGGCGAGCUCGCCAAGCACGCCGUCUCCGAGGGCACCAAGGCUGUCACCAAGUUCACCUCCUCCUGA